Acanthosepion pharaonis is the source of this 113-nucleotide non-coding RNA. Lineage: Eukaryota; Metazoa; Mollusca; Cephalopoda; Sepiida; Sepiidae. The record is from the annotation of a GenBank genome assembly.
UGACGGCCAUAUCACAUUGAAACACUGAUUACCGUACGAUCACCGAAGUUAAGCCACGUCAAGCUUGGUCAGUACCGAGAUGGGUGACCACUUGGGAAUAACAUGUGCUGUAG